GACGAACCGUGCAAACGUUGUUCGGAAUCACUGGGCUUAAAGGGCGCGUAGGCGGCUCAUCAAGUCGGGGGUGAAAUACUUCAGCUUAACUGGAGAAGUGCCUUCGAUACUGGUGGGCUUGAGGGAGGUAGGGGUCUGUGGAACUUCUGGUGGAGCGGUGAAAUGCGUUGAUAUCAGAAGGAACGCCGGUGGCGAAAGCGAAGGACUGGACCUCUUCUGACGCUGAGGCGCGAAAGCUAGGGGAGCAAACGGG
This 253-nucleotide ribosomal RNA is filed under the name uncultured bacterium. RNAcentral describes it as "partial 16S ribosomal RNA". It matches the Rfam family "Bacterial small subunit ribosomal RNA", at positions 524 to 776 of the family's 1533-position model. The record is from RNAcentral.